This 496-nucleotide ribosomal RNA is filed under the name uncultured bacterium. RNAcentral's name for it is "partial 16S ribosomal RNA". It matches the Rfam family "Bacterial small subunit ribosomal RNA", at positions 29 to 507 of the family's 1533-position model. The record is from RNAcentral.
AUGAACGCUGGCGGCGUGCCUAAUAUAUGCAAGUCGAGCGAACAGACGAGGAGCUUGCUCCUCUGACGUUAGCGGCGGACGGGUGAGUAACACGUGGAUAACCUACCUAUAAGACUGGGAUAACUUCGGGAAACCGGAGCUAAUACCGGAUAAUAUAUUGAACCGCAUGGUUCAAUAGUGAAAGACGGUUUUGCUGUCACUUAUAGAUGGAUCCGCGCCGCAUUAGCUAGUUGGUAAGGUAACGGCUUACCAAGGCAACGAUGCGUAGCCGACCUGAGAGGGUGAUCGGCCACACUGGAACUGAGACACGGUCCAGACUCCUACGGGAGGCAGCAGUAGGGAAUCUUCCGCAAUGGGCGAAAGCCUGACGGAGCAACGCCGCGUGAGUGAUGAAGGUCUUCGGAUCGUAAAACUCUGUUAUUAGGGAAGAACAAAUGUGUAAGUAACUAUGCACGUCUUGACGGUACCUAAUCAGAAAGCCACGGCUAACUACGUG